CGGCAGUUUUGGCAUGUCUUGAAAAAUGCAAAACAAUAUAUUGAAACAUUUUUUUUUACCAUAAGGUUUGUUUAGGCAAACACAAAAUGUGCUAACCAAUGAUUCUCAGAUACUACUCCUUAAGGUUAUACGAGCAUUAUUAAUGUUAAGUGCAGCUUGAAAACUGUUAACCCAUAGUUAAUAUGCAUCUUUUAACAUGAUUUCCAACAGUUCAUAUAUACUACUGCUUUAAAACUGCUGAUCAAUAAAAAAAAAAUGUCUUCACAGUUUAUAUUUACUGAUGCUUUAAAACUGUUACCCAGUUUAUCUUUACUGAUGCUUUAAAACUGUUAACCAUAGUUUAUAUAUACCAAGGCUUAUAAACUGUUAUCCAUAGUUUAUAUUUAAUGAUGCUUUAAAACUGUUACCCAUAGUUUAUAUUUACUGAUUCGUUAAAACUGUAACCCCAUAGUGUAUAUUCACCGCUGCUAUAAAACUGUUAAUCCAUACUUUAUAACUACUGUUGUUUCAAAACUGUUAAUCCACAGAUGAUAUUUGUAUUGCUGCUUUAAAACGUUUUAUCCACAUUUUAUAUCUACUGCUGUAAAUAAAACCUUUUAACAAGAGAUUGAAAAUAAACUAAUCA
RNAcentral lists this long non-coding RNA (625 nucleotides) under Mytilus galloprovincialis (Mediterranean mussel). The record is from RNAcentral. Lineage: Eukaryota; Metazoa; Mollusca; Bivalvia; Mytilida; Mytilidae.